This 928-nucleotide ribosomal RNA is filed under the name Vibrio metschnikovii. RNAcentral describes it as "bacterial SSU rRNA". It matches the Rfam family "Bacterial small subunit ribosomal RNA", at positions 79 to 1003 of the family's 1533-position model. Lineage: Bacteria; Pseudomonadati; Pseudomonadota; Gammaproteobacteria; Vibrionales; Vibrionaceae. The record is from RNAcentral.
CUUUCUUUGCUGACGAGCGGCGGACGGGUGAGUAAUGCCUGGGAAAUUGCCCUGAUGUGGGGGAUAACCAUUGGAAACGAUGGCUAAUACCGCAUGAUGCCUACGGGCCAAAGAGGGGGACCUUCGGGCCUCUCGCGUCAGGAUAUGCCCAGGUGGGAUUAGCUAGUUGGUGAGGUAAUGGCUCACCAAGGCGACGAUCCCUAGCUGGUCUGAGAGGAUGAUCAGCCACACUGGAACUGAGACACGGUCCAGACUCCUACGGGAGGCAGCAGUGGGGAAUAUUGCACAAUGGGCGCAAGCCUGAUGCAGCCAUGCCGCGUGUAUGAAGAAGGCCUUCGGGUUGUAAAGUACUUUCAGUGGUGAGGAAGGGAGUGUGGUUAAUAGCCAUAUUCUUUGACGUUAGCCACAGAAGAAGCACCGGCUAACUCCGUGCCAGCAGCCGCGGUAAUACGGAGGGUGCGAGCGUUAAUCGGAAUUACUGGGCGUAAAGCGCAUGCAGGUGGUUUGUUAAGUCAGAUGUGAAAGCCCGGGGCUCAACCUCGGAGUUGCAUUUGAAACUGGCAGGCUAGAGUACUGUAGAGGGGGGUAGAAUUUCAGGUGUAGCGGUGAAAUGCGUAGAGAUCUGAAGGAAUACCGGUGGCGAAGGCGGCCCCCUGGACAGAUACUGACACUCAGAUGCGAAAGCGUGGGGAGCAAACAGGAUUAGAUACCCUGGUAGUCCACGCUGUAAACGAUGUCUACUUGGAGGUUGUGGCCUUGAGCCGUGGCUUUCGGAGCUAACGCGUUAAGUAGACCGCCUGGGGAGUACGGUCGCAAGAUUAAAACUCAAAUGAAUUGACGGGGGCCCGCACAAGCGGUGGAGCAUGUGGUUUAAUUCGAUGCAACGCGAAGAACCUUACCUACUCUUGACAUCCAGAGAAUCCUGCGG